GAACGUAGGUUAGGGGAUAGGCGGCGAGUUAGAUCGAAUAUCGGGUGUAGAGUACACGAGCGGCGGACGGGUGAGUAACGCGUGGGAAUCUACCCCAAACUGAGGGAUAAGCAUCGGAAACGGUGUCUAAUACCGCAUAUGGUCUUCGGAUUAAAGCUUCGGCGGUUUGGGAAGAGCCCGCGUAAGAUUAGCUAGUUGGUGAGGUAAUGGCUCACCAAGGCGACGAUCUUUAACUGGUUUGAGAGGAUGAUCAGUCACACUGGAACUGAGACACGGUCCAGACUCCUACGGGAGGCAGCAGUGAGGAAUUUCCACAAUGGGCGAAAGCCUGAUGGAGCAACGCCGCGUGCAGGAUGAAGGCUUUAGGGUUGUAAACUGUCUUUUAUAUGUGACGAAUAUGACGGUAGCAUAUGAAUAAGGAUCGGCUAACUCCGUG
This 436-nucleotide ribosomal RNA is filed under the name uncultured bacterium. Its description in RNAcentral is "bacterial SSU rRNA". It matches the Rfam family "Bacterial small subunit ribosomal RNA", at positions 38 to 507 of the family's 1533-position model. The record is from RNAcentral.